CCCUUAGAUGUUCUGGGCCGCACGCGUGCUACACUGAGUGGAUCAGCGGGUCAGGUUGCGCGAAAGUGUUUCCUAAUCUUGAAAUCCGCUCGUGAUGGGGAUUGACGGUUGCAAUUUUCCGUCAUGAACGAGGAAUACCUUGUAAGCGCGGGUCAUCAUCCCGCGCUGAAUACGUCCCUGCCCUUUGUACACACCGCCCGUCGCUCCUACCGAUUGAGUGGUCCGGUGAGGCUUUGGGAUCUGAGCGGAAAGAGCGUUUCGCUGUUUCUGCCCGGAAAACUCAGUCGAACCUUAUCAUCUAGAGGAAGGAGAAGUCGUAACA
This 322-nucleotide ribosomal RNA is filed under the name uncultured eukaryote. RNAcentral's name for it is "partial 18S ribosomal RNA". It matches the Rfam family "Eukaryotic small subunit ribosomal RNA", at positions 1470 to 1796 of the family's 1831-position model. The record is from RNAcentral.